CCGACCCCGCCCUCCCCACCCCGAGGAUAUAGGUAGCUACUGAUGUGCCUGCCUAAAAAGAAGCCCCCGUGGGGCGAAAGGGUUUUCGCCAACAUUGCGUCGUCAUCUUAAAGGGUAAAACCUCGCUGAGCGCCGACAGGCCCUACUAGAAGGCAUCCUUGUAGGAAUACUGGCUUUGUCGGAAGGAAAGCCAGCCUGAGGGAUGGAUGCGUCUGCGAGGCUGCUAACAAUGUCCAGCGAGCAGUCCGUCAUAACGAUGGUAAAUAGAGCGGAGGUGGAAAACUGACGGUGAAAAUGGCAUUGUUUGAAUCAGGCGCCCAAGAGCCGGCUUUUUUUACAACUACGCGUGCGCACCAGGUGAGAGUGCCACGCCCCCCUCCUUGGUGGCUUGUAGUCUGGUCACCGUUAGUGCUGCCAGCCAUGGUUUACCAGGUCAAGGGACCCGCUAGUUUUUUUGUACAGGAAUGAGCUGGGAUCGCUGAUAGCCCCACAGAUAACAACAUCUCUAGUCUUUACGAGUUCGUUAUUGGAUUGCAUGUUCCAAAACCACGACGCUAAGGUGAGCGCCGACUCCGCGAUCAAAACUGCUGGAUCCUCUUGCAGAGGACACGAACUCGGUUCCCAGCACCUUCCUGGCGGUCCACAACCGUGUGAGCCCAGCUCCAGGACAUCCGACUCCCUCCUCUGGCCUCCCUGGGCAACUCCAUGCAUGUGGUGCGCAGACAUACACUCCGGCACGCACGAUACUCAUGAAAAUCAACUUAAGAAAAUAUAAACUUUGAAUUGCUAUUCCCUCUUUGCCAACGAAGAGACCAAAAUUUUAAAACGUGGAAACCGAAGCUGGGUGGCCUGAGUGUUAGCAUUUAGGCAUUUACACUGGCCUGCACUCGGGGACCGAGUAGGACACAGCAGUAGCCAAGAUGUGACCCUGUAGCCACCCCACCAAGCCGAGUGAGCACUCGCCCUAUGCACAUGUGCUAUAUCGCCUUAUAAAAGGCAGGCCCUUCUCGCCCCCUCUUCUGCUCUCCCUCAAAGGCCGCCUUUGCACCUCCCACGUGAGCUCUGCUGCAUGGUAUGACUUUGUGGUGCCCCUUGGCUCCAGCUCGCCUUCUGCCGCUCAACUAUUACAGAGUGUAAAGGCACUGACUUCAAACCUAGCCAUCUGAGUUCAAUCCCGUGUCCAACACGGUGGAAGUAAAGCACUGAUUCCUUCAAGUUGUCCUCUGAUCUCCACCCAGGCACAGGAGCAUGAGCCUCUCACUCCCACAAAUGAAUAAAUCAGAUGGAAGCUCUCAGCCACUGCUCCAGCACCAUGCCUGCCUGCCACCCUGCUUCCCAUCAAGAUGAUCAUAGACUAGCUCUCUAAAACUUGUUUCUCUGCGUAGCCCUGGCUGUCCUGGAAUUUGCUCUGUAGCCCAGGCUGGCCUUGAGCUCCAGAGAUCCACCUGCCUCUGAAUCCCAAGUGCUGGGGGGCAAGGGGGGGAUUAAAGGUUUGUGCAACACCACCACCUGGCACAUCUCCACAGAAACCAGAGAAUGGAAGUGAGUGUGCAACACCACCAGUGAGUGUGCAACACCACCAGUGAGUGUGCAACACCACCACCUGGCACAUCUCCACAGAAACCAGAGAAUGGAAGUGAGUGUGCAACACCACCAGUGAGUGUGCACCACCACCACCUGGCACAUCUCCACAGAAACCAGAGAAUGGAAGUGAGUGUUGAGCAAUCCCUGGCGAGUCAAACGGAUGCACUCACACAGCGAGCCGCUGCUGAGGGAGAAGAAGGGGAAUAAAACUGACCAUGAAGGAAGAAAACCGGAUCUCAAAAAUAUGGCGCUAAAAAUAAAAUUCCCCGAGGUGAAGGAAGCCAGAUGGACCGCGCUGGCCAACUCCGUCUCCACUUAUGUGAAGUAUCAAGACACAAACAAACCCAGACAGCCAGGAAGUCAUCAAUAACAACCGGGCUCUCCUGCCCAGGGCCUGGCCGGAGGGUGUGAGGCCUGUGUGAGCUGAGGAAAUGGGAGAAGCCAGACCAGAGACUGAGAAGGGGUUGCCAACGAAGUGGAGAGAAAAGAAAGAGAGGGUGGUGGCGCUGUGGGAGCUGGAGGGAGACUGAAUCCUAGGUGAGAACAAGAUGUCAAAGAACGUGGAGGUCGGAAGUCAAGGGAGUACAGAGCAGCCCGAGGAUUUAGUUACCUUGCCAGGGGCAGUUUUGGUGAGCUGGUGAAGGCUAGAGAGCUGGAAACCAAUGUGAAGCAGUGUGGAUAGAUCCCUCCCUCACCAGCAGGAAAGGCUGGAGGCUCUCAGAGACCAAACUGCGAGCAUUAGCCAAUCCCAGGGCCUUUCCACACCAGAGAAAGUUUUUUUGUUUGUUUGUUUGUUUUUUAGUUUUUUGAGACAGGGUUUCUCUAUGUAGCUUUGCGCCUUUCUGCUUUGGAGACCAGGCUGGCCUCAAACAGAGAAAGAAUUUAGAACAAAGUACGUCGUUGGAAGUUUAGCUCAGGUUAGCGUUUACGUCACUAUGGAGCUGAAGCUGGCUAUAAACACCUGAUGCUCUUCCCCCAGAGUCCAGUGGCCAUGGCCCACAGCCCCCUCCAGGAACCCUUUCCUCCUGAGCCACACCCAUCCACCUUUACUUCCCAGGGUCCAGCUCCUUCCUCUUUGCUGAGCCUAUGUCCCUGGGACCCUAGUCUCUGGUCCAUUGGACCGCCAAUCUGUCAAGUAUAUAGCCAGUGAAGAAACGCCAAUGAACACAAGAGAAACUGACUAUGGAAAAAUGCAAUAACUAAGAUGGAAAAGCCUAACUUAACGAUACAACGAAACAUUCCUGUCUUCCAUUUUUUCUUCUGGAGACGAGGUCUCCCUGUGUAGCCCUCACAAGAGAUCCAAAUGCCUCUGCCUCCUAAAUACUGGGAUUAAAGGUGGAUGCCACCACUCCUGGCAAGUAAGUG
Peromyscus maniculatus bairdii (prairie deer mouse) is the source of this 2949-nucleotide non-coding RNA. The record is from RefSeq and is a predicted model, not a curated record. NCBI's taxonomy places the organism in Eukaryota, Metazoa, Chordata, Mammalia, Rodentia, Cricetidae.